This 774-nucleotide ribosomal RNA is filed under the name uncultured Neocallimastigales. RNAcentral's name for it is "partial large subunit ribosomal RNA". It matches the Rfam family "Eukaryotic large subunit ribosomal RNA", at positions 22 to 647 of the family's 3401-position model. The record is from RNAcentral. Lineage: Eukaryota; Fungi; Neocallimastigomycota; Neocallimastigomycetes; Neocallimastigales.
UAGAUGCGAGAGUAGAGCAUAUCAAUAAGCGGAGGAAAAGAAACUAACAAGGAUUCCCUUAGUAACGGCGAGUGAAGCGGGAAGAGCUCAAAUUUGAAAUCUUCAAGGUUCUACCUUGACGAAUUGUAGUUUAUAGAAGUGUUUUCUGUUAGUAGAGUGGCAAAAGUUCUUUGGAAUAGGACAUCAUAGAGGGUGAGAAUCCCGUAUUUGGUCAUUCUUUCUAGCUUUGUGAUACACUUUCAACGAGUCGGAUUGUUUGGGAAUGCAGUCCAAAAUGGGUGGUAAAUUUCAUCUAAAGCUAAAUAUUGGCGAGAGACCGAUAGCGAACAAGUACCGUGAGGGAAAGAUGAAAAGAACUUUGAAAAGAGAGUUAAACAGUACGUGAAAUUGUCAAAAGGGAAGCGUUUGACACCAGUGUUGUUUUUCCGAAAAUCAAUUACGAAUGUUUUGUUUUUAAGAGUUAUGACUUCAUCGGCUUGCUCCUUUCUUUAUGAAACUUUCUUAAUGCACUUUUCGGUUAACAAGUCAACAUCAAUUUCUUUUGUUGUAAAAGGGUAUGAGGAAGGUGGCUUUCUUUUCGGAGAAAGUGUUUAUAGCCUUGUGCCUCUGCAAUCGGAGAGAUUGAGGUCUGCAGCGUAGAUCCUUCGGGGUUAGAUAGCAUUUGUGCUAAGUUAUAGCUUUUCAUAGACAACUUGUUGACUAUGUUUAGUCUUGUAGCUUACUCGCUUACGCUAUUUUACCUACGCUUAGGAUGUUGACGAGACUGUCGAUCUC